UGAAAUACAGCUAUUUAAAGUCCAAGAGUGUAAUCCACACGAGCCAGCGAUUUUCUCACUUGAGUUGGUGCCAGCACGAUCUCGAUCAACGGUGGUGUUUUUGGCAGCUUUGAGCGCUUCGUAGAUGUGACAUGGCACGUAGUAUGAGAAAAUUAUCUCGUCUUAGGGUCCUUCUUCCAUCCUUGGAGCAGAACGCCGCAGAUCUCGCGGUUGUCCAGCAGACACGUGUGCUCCAUGCCGCAUGUCCGCAAAUAUAUUAUCACCACAGCUCACCGUGGAGGUCUAGGAGUGUUUGCAGCGAACAAGUGGUGAAAAUCUCUGCACUGACCAAGCCUUCGCCUU
Molecule: long non-coding RNA, 342 nt
Filed under: Coccomyxa subellipsoidea
Lineage: Eukaryota; Viridiplantae; Chlorophyta; Trebouxiophyceae; Coccomyxaceae
Description: long non-coding RNA (CSUB_LNC000147)
Source: RNAcentral